Molecule: ribosomal RNA, 644 nt
Filed under: Streptomyces sp. 5112_5
Lineage: Bacteria; Bacillati; Actinomycetota; Actinomycetes; Kitasatosporales; Streptomycetaceae
Description: bacterial SSU rRNA
Rfam family: Bacterial small subunit ribosomal RNA
Source: RNAcentral
GAACGGGUGAGUAACACGUGGGCAAUCUGCCCUUCACUCUGGGACAAGCCCUGGAAACGGGGUCUAAUACCGGAUAACACCUGCCCGGGCAUCUGGGUGGGUUAAAAGCUCCGGCGGUGAAGGAUGAGCCCGCGGCCUAUCAGCUUGUUGGUGAGGUAGUGGCUCACCAAGGCGACGACGGGUAGCCGGCCUGAGAGGGCGACCGGCCACACUGGGACUGAGACACGGCCCAGACUCCUACGGGAGGCAGCAGUGGGGAAUAUUGCACAAUGGGCGAAAGCCUGAUGCAGCGACGCCGCGUGAGGGAUGACGGCCUUCGGGUUGUAAACCUCUUUCAGCAGGGAAGAAGCGAAAGUGACGGUACCUGCAGAAGAAGCGCCGGCUAACUACGUGCCAGCAGCCGCGGUAAUACGUAGGGCGCAAGCGUUGUCCGGAAUUAUUGGGCGUAAAGAGCUCGUAGGCGGCUUGUCACGUCNGGUGUGAAAGCCCGGGGCUUAACCCCGGGUCUGCAUUCGAUACGGGCUAGCUAGAGUGUGGUAGGGGAGAUCGGAAUUCCUGGUGUAGCGGUGAAAUGCGCAGAUAUCAGGAGGAACACCGGUGGCGAAGGCGGAUCUCUGGGCCAUUACUGACGCUGAGGAGCGAAA